RNAcentral lists this ribosomal RNA (497 nucleotides) under uncultured bacterium. Its description in RNAcentral is "partial 16S ribosomal RNA". It matches the Rfam family "Bacterial small subunit ribosomal RNA", at positions 28 to 507 of the family's 1533-position model. The record is from RNAcentral.
GAUGAACGCUGGCGGCGUGCCUAAUACAUGCAAGUCGAGCGAACAGACGAUGAGCUUGCUCCUCUGACGUUAGCGGCGGACGGGUGAGUAACACGUGGAUAACCUACCUAUAAGACUGGGAUAACUUCGGGAAACCGGAUCUAAUACCGGAUAAUAUAUUGAACCGCAUGGUUCAAUAGUGAAUGACGGUUUUGCUGUCACUUAUAGAUGGAUCCGCGCCGCAUUAGCUAGUUGGUAAGGUAACGGCUUACCAAGGCAACGAUGCGUAGCCGACCUGAGAGGGUGAUCGGCCACACUGGAACUGAGACACGGUCCAGACUCCUACGGGAGGCAGCAGUAGGGAAUCUUCCGCAAUGGGCGAAAGCUUGACGGAGCAACGCCGCGUGAGUGAUGAAGGUCUUCGGAUCGUAAAACUCUGUUAUUAGGGAAGAACAAAUGUGUAAGUAACUAUGCACGUCUUGACGGUACCUAAUCAGAAAGCCACGGCUAACUACGUG